UGCGAGCCGAAGCUACUACAUUCAGGCUAACCUAUUAGUCUUUAACUACAUCGACCCUUGGCUAUAGGAUAUUUUUACUCUUUAAUUAGCAGUUUAUGUCUUUCAGUGAGUCUUCAGUUUACAAAUGCAGAAUAUAUGUACUAGAUGUAGGGACUGGGGAGGGACUGAGGCUUCUGUGGUUUUGUCAUCAGCAAUUUAGAUUUGGUUUCAG
Molecule: long non-coding RNA, 211 nt
Filed under: Nicotiana benthamiana
Lineage: Eukaryota; Viridiplantae; Streptophyta; Magnoliopsida; Solanales; Solanaceae
Description: long non-coding RNA (NBEN_LNC024610)
Source: RNAcentral